Molecule: microRNA precursor, 204 nt
Filed under: Oryza barthii
Lineage: Eukaryota; Viridiplantae; Streptophyta; Magnoliopsida; Poales; Poaceae
Description: MIR812 microRNA precursor family
Rfam family: MIR812 microRNA precursor family
Source: Rfam by way of RNAcentral
AAAAAGAUAAACCCUAGUUUCCGUGCCCAACGUUUGACCGUCCGUCUUAUUCCAAAAAAAUAUGAAAAAAAUUAAAAAUACAAGUCACGCAUAAAAUAUUAAUCAUGUUUUAUCAUCUAACAACAAUAAAAAUACGAAUUAUAAAAAAAUUCAUAUAAGACGGACAGUCAAAGUUAGACACGGAAACCCAGGGUUUGCCUUUCU